CGCUGCCGCUCGAACGCGUCUGCAGGCAGAGAGAGCCGCGUGUUCCUGACUGAAAUCCUGUCACGACAGCGGACAGCGAAAGAGGGUGAAGCAUUCCCCAGGCUCAGACCAGCGGUGGAGUGUCCAUCCUUUGAGGCAGAGGGGACAGGAGCACAGCCCAAGAGCUCAUGAACCAAAGCAGAGCAGCUGAGCAAAGCAGGAUCAGUUUGCCCUUUCCCAUCAGCUGAAAAAGGCGUUUACUGUUAAAGUAAAUGUAAAUAAAUAAAACCUUUCUUAACUGCCACUGCUUUCAGGUGUAUGCAAUAUCCAAGUUGCUGAAGGACAGAUAAAAUUAAAUACAUUAAAAUAACAAAGGAAGAGCAAGCUCCUGCCUUCUCUUAUUUUUAAUGGAUAGAUCCAUUAGUACCUUGUCUUUAACAGCAUCCACAGUGUCUCCCGACACAACUUAGCUGUUUCUGCAGACCUGGUUUAGAUUUACCAUCAAAAGUUCUUCCACUUCUUUGGAGCUGGCACAAUAGAGUAGGUUUGCAAGCAAAAAGUUUUGUGAGAAACUAUCAGAGAACCAUCAGAAAUCCCAUUUAAAAAUAUCUUGAAAACCAUGGAUGAAUGUUACGUAUUUGAAAGCUGAUGUAUUUGAAGUUAUGUAUUUGUAUCCUUAUAAAACUGAAAUAGAAUUUCAGCUCACAGCAUUUUUUCCAUUCUUGUUAUGGAUUAAAGGGAUUCAGUAACAACACUGUUUAAAAAUUUGCCAGUGGUCACCUGUGAAAGUCAGACUUCAUGGCACAAGAGAACAUAACUCCAUCAAAGCCAAGUCCAGUGGAAGCUUUCUUUGUAAAUGUUUCCAAUAUAUUUUUGUUUUAAAGUACAGUAUAUUAUUUGUAACAUAUUAUUUGUAGCAUAAUAACCACUUUUAUCCUGAGGAAAGAGUGUUGAUUUGAAUCAAGAGCCAAGGCCAGUAAUUAAUAAACCAAUCAGGAAUAAACUGAUGGAUCUGACCUUUCAUAAUUGAGCUGCUCCAAACUGUAUGUGAGGUCUGAUGCUUUAAUUAAGAAGGACAGGACAUGGCAAAUAGAAAUGAGAUUUAUGUUAUACAGGGAUGCAGUAAACCUAUUUAUUGUAAUUGUCUGACCUUUUAAUUUUUUUGUACCUGAAAUCCCAUAGAGCAUGUACUUGUGGAUGUAAAUGGUUUGUUCAUAACCAUACCUUUUGAAAGGAACAGUGAAUGAGGUACAGGAGUCAUCUUUGGAAAGAUUUAUUUAAUUAUUUUGCCAUGGUUACUUUAAUAUCUGGAUAUAUAUUACCCAUGCUAAGAUUCAACACAGAAAACACCUGAUUCUUCUAAGGAAAUGAAAAUAAAAUAUUUCU
This is a non-coding RNA of Zonotrichia albicollis (white-throated sparrow), 1365 nucleotides long. NCBI's taxonomy places the organism in Eukaryota, Metazoa, Chordata, Aves, Passeriformes, Passerellidae. The record is from RefSeq and is a predicted model, not a curated record.